RNAcentral lists this ribosomal RNA (822 nucleotides) under Psychrobacter celer. RNAcentral describes it as "bacterial SSU rRNA". It matches the Rfam family "Bacterial small subunit ribosomal RNA", at positions 628 to 1448 of the family's 1533-position model. Lineage: Bacteria; Pseudomonadati; Pseudomonadota; Gammaproteobacteria; Moraxellales; Moraxellaceae. The record is from RNAcentral.
UGAUACUGUUAAGCUAGAGUAGGUGAGAGGGAAGUAGAAUUCCAGGUGUAGCGGUGAAAUGCGUAGAGAUCUGGAGGAAUACCGAUGGCGAAGGCAGCUUCCUGGCAUCAUACUGACACUGAGGCUCGAAAGCGUGGGUAGCAAACAGGAUUAGAUACCCUGGUAGUCCACGCCGUAAACGAUGUCUACUAGUCGUUGGGUCCCUUGAGGACUUAGUGACGCAGCUAACGCAAUAAGUAGACCGCCUGGGGAGUACGGCCGCAAGGUUAAAACUCAAAUGAAUUGACGGGGGCCCGCACAAGCGGUGGAGCAUGUGGUUUAAUUCGAUGCAACGCGAAGAACCUUACCUGGUCUUGACAUACACAGAAUCUUGUAGAGAUACGAGAGUGCCUUCGGGAAUUGUGAUACAGGUGCUGCAUGGCUGUCGUCAGCUCGUGUCGUGAGAUGUUGGGUUAAGUCCCGCAACGAGCGCAACCCUUGUCCUUAGUUACCAGCGGGUUAAGCCGGGAACUCUAAGGAUACUGCCAGUGACAAACUGGAGGAAGGCGGGGACGACGUCAAGUCAUCAUGGCCCUUACGACCAGGGCUACACACGUGCUACAAUGGUAGGUACAGAGGGCAGCUACACAGCGAUGUGAUGCGAAUCUCAAAAAGCCUAUCGUAGUCCAGAUUGGAGUCUGCAACUCGACUCCAUGAAGUAGGAAUCGCUAGUAAUCGCGGAUCAGAAUGCCGCGGUGAAUACGUUCCCGGGCCUUGUACACACCGCCCGUCACACCAUGGGAGUUGAUUGCACCAGAAGUGGUUAGCCGAACCUUUUAGGAC